This 506-nucleotide ribosomal RNA is filed under the name uncultured bacterium. Its description in RNAcentral is "partial 16S ribosomal RNA". It matches the Rfam family "Bacterial small subunit ribosomal RNA", at positions 28 to 523 of the family's 1533-position model. The record is from RNAcentral.
GAUGAACGCUAGCUACAGGCUUAACACAUGCAAGUCGAGGGGUAACGAGAGGAAAGCUUGCUUUCCUUGUCGACGACCGGCGCACGGGUGAGUAACGCGUAUCCAACCUGCCCCCAACUAGGGAAUAACCUUGCGAAAGUAAGACUAAUACCCUAUAAUUUCCUCAGAUGUCAUCUGACGAGGAAUAAAGAUUUAUCGGUUGUGGAUGGGGAUGCGUCUGAUUAGCUUGUUGGCGGGGUAACGGCCCACCAAGGCAACGAUCAGUAGGGGUUCUGAGAGGAAGGUCCCUCACAUUAGAACUGAGACACGGUCCAAACUCCUACGGGAGGCAGCAGUGAGGAAUAUUGGUCAAUGGGCGGAAGCCUGAACCAGCCAAGUAGCGUGCAGGAUGACGGCCCUAUGGGUUGUAAACUGCUUUUAUACAGGAAUAAAGUUAGCCACGUGUGGUUAUUUGUAGGUACUGUAUGAAUAAGGACCGGCUAAUUCCGUGCCAGCAGCCGCAGUAA